GGCUGGAGGAAUAGUGGAAAGCAUUCCCGCCUGUCACGCGGGUGACCCGGGUUCGAUCCCCAGCAACGGCGCCA
This is a non-coding RNA of Rhododendron molle, 74 nucleotides long. NCBI's taxonomy places the organism in Eukaryota, Viridiplantae, Streptophyta, Magnoliopsida, Ericales, Ericaceae. The record is from the annotation of a GenBank genome assembly.